CGGACGGGUGAGUAAUGUCUGGGAAACUGCCUGAUGGAGGGGGAUAACUACUGGAAACGGUAGCUAAUACCGCAUAAUGUCUGCGGACCAAAGCGGGGGACCUCCGGGCCUCGCGCCAUCAGAUGAACCCAUAUGGGAUUAGCUAGUAGGUAAGGUAACGGCUUACCUAGGCGACGAUCCCUAGCUGGUCUGAGAGGAUGAUCAGCCACACUGGGACUGAGACACGGCCCAG
RNAcentral lists this ribosomal RNA (232 nucleotides) under uncultured bacterium. RNAcentral's name for it is "partial 16S ribosomal RNA". It matches the Rfam family "Bacterial small subunit ribosomal RNA", at positions 99 to 334 of the family's 1533-position model. The record is from RNAcentral.